AUUGAACGCUGGCGGCAUGCCUUACACAUGCAAGUCGAACGGCAGCACGGGUGCUUGCACCUGGUGGCGAGUGGCGAACGGGUGAGUAAUACAUCGGAACAUGUCCUGUAGUGGGGGAUAGCCCGGCGAAAGCCGGAUUAAUACCGCAUACGAUCUACGGAUGAAAGCGGGGGACCUGCGGGCCUCGCGCUAUAGGGAUGGACGAUGGGUGUGUAGCUAGUUGGGGGGGUAAAGGCCUACCAAGGCGACGAACAGUAGCUGGUCUGAGAGGACGACCAGCCGCAUGGGGGCUGGAACACGGCCCAGGCUCCUGCGGGAAGCAGCAGAGGGGGAUUGUGGACAGUGGUGGAAAACCUGGUCCAGCGAUGGCACGUGUGAGGAAGAAGCCUUCCGGUUGUAAUGAAGUUUUGUCCGGAGAGAAAUGCUUGGGCCUAAGACGGUCCGGGGAUGACGGUACCGGAAGAAUAAGCACCGGCUAACUACGUG
This 486-nucleotide ribosomal RNA is filed under the name uncultured bacterium. RNAcentral describes it as "partial 16S ribosomal RNA". It matches the Rfam family "Bacterial small subunit ribosomal RNA", at positions 29 to 507 of the family's 1533-position model. The record is from RNAcentral.